GAUGAACGCUAGCUACAGGCUUAACACAUGCAAGUCGAGGGGCAGCAUGGUCUUAGCUUGCUAAGGCCGAUGGCGACCGGCGCACGGGUGAGUAACACGUAUCCAACCUGCCGUCUACUCUUGGACAGCCUUCUGAAAGGAAGAUUAAUACAAGAUGGCAUCAUGAGUCCGCAUGUUCACAUGAUUAAAGGUAUUCCGGUAGACGAUGGGGAUGCGUUCCAUUAGAUAGUAGGCGGGGUAACGGCCCACCUAGUCUUCGAUGGAUAGGGGUUCUGAGAGGAAGGUCCCCCACAUUGGAACUGAGACACGGUCCAAACUCCUACGGGAGGCAGCAGUGAGGAAUAGUGGGCAAUGGGCGAGAGCCUGAACCAGCCAAGUAGCGUGAAGGAUGACUGCCCUAUGGGUUGUAAACUUCUUUUAUAAAGGAAUAAAGUCGGGUAUGGAUACCCGUUUGCAUGUACUUUAUGAAUAAGGAACGGCUAACUCCGUG
This 490-nucleotide ribosomal RNA is filed under the name uncultured bacterium. RNAcentral describes it as "partial 16S ribosomal RNA". It matches the Rfam family "Bacterial small subunit ribosomal RNA", at positions 28 to 507 of the family's 1533-position model. The record is from RNAcentral.